RNAcentral lists this long non-coding RNA (2663 nucleotides) under Equus caballus (horse). Its description in RNAcentral is "lncRNA (ENSECAG00000058109.1)". The record is from RNAcentral. Lineage: Eukaryota; Metazoa; Chordata; Mammalia; Perissodactyla; Equidae.
CUGGGGUCUCCUACUCCACGAUCUUGGUGAUUUCACUCUGGAACUUGGUUGUUUCCUCCUCUCAGGAAGGAUAGAGUCCUCCCAUGUGGAAUCUGACACCUGGAAGCUUUCAUAUUCUUUUCUGUGGCUGCAGAGUAUGGCUUGCUUUGCUUUCUUUGGCAUGACAGUUCUGAUUCUUCAGCCUCCCCAUGAAGAAGAGAAAAAUUCCCUUGAAGCUGAACUAAAUUCAUCAGCAAAUGAAAUUACAUUCAUUUGAUAAAAUGCUAAAUGGAAAAAGGCAGGUUUAUUUUAAGCCGUCAACAGGCUGUUUCAGUUAAUCAUGCACAGCACAGAAGACAGGAAAAUGGUUGCUAAGAAAAUGGUUGGCAUGCUUCCACGAGAUCCGUGUGAUGUGAAAUGCAUCUGCUCAUUUCAACAGGGAAAUAGAAAAAGAUAAAAUAAACAGUUCAGGGUAUAUUUGGUCGCAGUAAUUUCUCUGGUUGUUGAGAGAGUCAAUGGAACCUCAGCUGUUCUGAUCAUCUGUAAUUCCACCAUUUCCACCACCAGAUACACACCUUCACUUCUUAGACAGACACUGCUUGCUGUCAGCAUCCAGGCCCACAAAUGGGAGAGAGAACAGCUAAAGACAGCAACCUGCUUGGCAUCCCCCUGCACACCAUAAUAGUCCUCAGGGUGAAGUAACCAUGGACAUCAGUGUCCACAGCAUCUUCAAGGUGGCUGUUAUGGAUAAAGAGGACAGGCCAAAAGGACAGUAUUGAGUCACAAAGUGGAAGACUGUAUCGGUUAAGAAAGCUUUUGAUUAUACAUGAUCCAGAAUGCUGAGAAGUUCAAAGCAGAAAAAUGAGAAGCAGAGAAACAUGGUUGGUAUCUCCUAAGAACUCUCUUGAGUCCACUGUCUUUACUCAGGACAAAAUGGAAAACAGAAAAAUUCAAGGCAAAAGCAAUCAUGGAGGGCAAACAGGAGAUUCAGUAAGGCCAUCAGCUGGCUGAACAAGAACUAGCCUGCUGAUAAGGAAGAAUUUGAGUGUCAUCAGGAAUACUGAAGAAUUCCAAAAUUCUGCAAGUUGAUCGUCACAAGCUGUACCAGGGAGCUGACAACAAGCCCUCGCAGGGGCAGAGCUCCACUGCCACAGUGUGUCUUGUCAGAGAGAGAUACCCACUAUCGAAGAAGGUGACCAUGCUGACCAGAAGAAAGCAUAUUCCACAGAUCUGUCGCAGAGUUUACAUAUGUGGCCCAGUCAGUUCACUAAGUCAGUUUCAAAGGUUGAUUUUAAACUAUGAAUUAAGCUGUGGAGAUAAACAGUUCUGAAUAUGUGUAAUAGCUCAACUAAAAUAGAAGUUCAUUUCCUGCUCACUUAACAGUCCAAGGCAGGUGUUCCUGGCUGAUGGAUGGUUCUUCUCCACACGGUGACUCAGGGAAUGACCCAGGCUCAUUUUGUCUUCUCUCCACCAGGGCCUCAUCCUCAUCAGCUGCCUCCAGUCAAUAGACGAGAAGUGAGAGAGAGAGGGGCACGCCUGCUGCUUUAAAGCCUUGUCUCAGAAAUGAUGUUCAUCACCAAAACUCAGUCACACGAUCUAACUGCAGGAAGGCUGGCCUACGUCGUCCAAUUGUGUUCCCAAAGAGUAGGGACAAGGGAUUGGUGGGGAGGACAGGGAACAGCUCGCAGUCUGCAGUUGUUUCAAUUGGGUCAUAUUUCAUAUACUUCAGAGAGUUUCAUCGCACUUCAGCAGUGUUAUGAGUGAAAAGUAACAUUUAUGUCUCAACAAAUAAAGAUCCACUUUAAAUCGGUGUCAUAAAAACAAGUAGAAUUUCUGGGUCAAAUGGCAUACAAAAUUCUAAAGGUUUUCAUUAAGUAUCGUCAAGUUGACCUUGAGAAGUUGUUCAGUUUAUACUCUCAUCUCCAUGCCAUCACCUACACCACUGCUAACAUUGCAUACAGUAUUAUCAUUUCAAAGCUUUUCAUAAACAAAAUAAAGUAUUCAAACAAUAGAGAAAAGAUGAGUGAGGAAUGUAAAAAAAAGUCACCAGAGGUAAUCACCACUAGUCUUUUGUUGACCACCUUUUCAUACGACUCUCUACACAGAGAUAUUCCACAGAAAAGAUAUUACAUUUGCCUUUUGAAAAAUUGUGAACCUCCUUCUCUUGUUCUAUUUCCCUUCUUUUCUUUAUUUCCUUCCUCCCUCCUUCUCUCCCUCCCUCCCUUCCUUUUCUCUCAUCGCUCCCUUCUCUCCCUCUUUUCCCUCCCAUUUCUCAUGCUUUGCUUUUGAUGGCCAUAAUUGACUGGCUUUACUGGGUCAGUCCUGACUUGAGGAGGUACGAUCGCGUAGAAAUUGAUAGCACAUACCCUAAAGCCACACUGCCUGGAUCUGGAUUCCACCUUGUCCAUGUAUUGCUGUUAUGACCUCUGUGUCUCAGUCUCCUUAUCUGUACAAGCGGGUAAUAAUAGUACCUACCUCCUUGGUUCCUAUUAAUCCUUGUGAGGAUUAAAUGAGUUAAUAUGUGUCAUGUGUCUUGAACAGCACCUCGUGCAUAGUAAGUGCUAUAUGUGUUUGCUAUUAUUAUCAUUAAUCUAUCACAUACGUUACAGAUAUUUUUUCCUGCCUGUUAUUUGUCUUUUGACUUUAUUUAUGGUACUGUUUUCAUGCAGUAAAAUAUAUCUAGC